Molecule: ribosomal RNA, 460 nt
Filed under: uncultured bacterium
Lineage: Bacteria
Description: partial 16S ribosomal RNA
Rfam family: Bacterial small subunit ribosomal RNA
Source: RNAcentral
CCUACGGGAGGCAGCAGUGAGGAAUAUUGGUCAAUGGACGAGAGUCUGAACCAGCCAAGUAGCGUGAAGGAUGACUGCUCUAUGGGUUGUAAACUUCUUUUAUAUGGGAAUAAAAUGUUCCACGUGUGGGAUUUUGUCUGUACCAUAUGAAUAAGGAUCGGCUAAUUCCGUGCCAGCAGCCGCGGUAAUACGGAGGAUCCGAGUGUUAUCCGGAUUUAUUGGGUUUAAGGGGAGCGUAGGUGGAUUGUUAAGUCAGUUGUGAAAGUUGGCGGCUCAACCGUAAAAUUGCAGUUGAAACUGGCAGUCUUGAGUACAGUAGAGGUGAGCGGAAUUCGGGGUGUAGCGGUGAAAUGCUUAGAUAUCACGAAGAACUCCGAUUGCGAAGGCAGUUCACUGGACUGCAACUGACACUGAGGCUCGAAAGUGUGGGUAUCAAACAGGAUUAGAUACCCCAGUAGUC